Molecule: transfer RNA, 84 nt
Filed under: bacterium BMS3Abin05
Lineage: Bacteria
Also listed under: 1 other name
Description: tRNA-Leu
Rfam family: tRNA
About the family: Transfer RNA (tRNA) molecules are approximately 80 nucleotides in length.
Source: RNAcentral
GCCGAGGUGGUGAAACUGGUAGACGCAGUGGACUCAAAAUCCACCGCCCUCUGGGCAUGCGGGUUCGAGUCCCGCCCUCGGCAC